RNAcentral lists this long non-coding RNA (1694 nucleotides) under Stylophora pistillata. RNAcentral describes it as "uncharacterized LOC111333585". The record is from RNAcentral. Lineage: Eukaryota; Metazoa; Cnidaria; Anthozoa; Scleractinia; Pocilloporidae.
AUCGCGCAUUAAAAUGGCGUCAAGUGCAUCCCAUUCAUCAAAAUUGCCGCAGUCAUUACACCGGUGCAACUAGAGUUUCUUCUCUUAUACCGUUUGUUUACUUUGGAUUGCGAUAAUUCAUCAAUUAUUUGAAAAAGCUAACAAGUACAGUCGAUUCGCAGCCACGGCCAGGGAUCCCUAAACCAGGUUGUUUUACAUGGUCAGCUUGUGUUUGCAAUUGUCAUUGUACAGCACUGUUGCACAGCCAGCAUUUUGAUUGAUCCCCAAUUGCACACUUCAGGACUUCCGCGUGUCUCUCUUCCCCGGCUGCAACAUUUGCAUUUAACAAACGCAAACAAGCCAAGAAGGUAGGAACUAUUUUGGUAAGUUCUGAAACAAAAAAAGAAAUUAUAGCACAUUAUUUGAUAUGAGCUAACCUCUGUUUAACAGAAUCUCUCAACCAAACUUUGCAUAACGGGUGAAUUUUAUAGACCGGACAGAGCUACAGGUUUCUGCGUGCAACACGCACAUGUACGAAAUUUUAUUUUUUACUUAAAGUUAAGUAAAACCUUAUUGAAAACAAAUAGUUUAACUCACCAGUUUUUUCUCAUUCCUCGUUAUUCGGAAAAUGUUUGUUGGGUUUCACCACCUAAUGAGCCUUGAAGAAGCAUGUUUUGUUUCUUUUUGCGGAAGAUUAAAACUGCCGGCCAUAUUUUCAGGUGUUGUUGUCUGAAUAGAAAGAUUUGAAGAGCGCGCCUUGUCAUCUUUCGAGCCCACGUGGUCCCAAGCUUGUCGCCAAUUGGCUUUUUUCGUGUCAGCCAUCUUACGUCAUACAUCAGGGAGGACGUAACGGCAACGAGAACGUCGCUAAACAAAAGGUUUUAUGAGCAGAAUAGCUGUGCACCUGCGUUGUAAAUCUUUGUAAAUUUCUUUGCGUCCUCUGCCAAACAACAACGUAAAAUGACCAACGACGUGGUUGACGACGGCUAAUUUUAUUUAAAGCGACUGAUUUAAUGCAUAAUUUUAUUUCUAAUAUAAAGCUCUAUUCCAUAUUUAGUUUUGAGGUAGUUUUGGCCGAGAGAAACAAAUUAAAUGACUUCGGAGUAUCGCGUAUUUUAUUGAAUUAAAUUGCAGUGCAUUGAGUUACACUACUUUGAAUUGCGCUGAGUUGUUUUAUUUCAUUUUCCUUUGAUUGGGUGUAUGCUGAUGUCCACAAAGUUAUCUAUGGUAUAGAUAAUUCCAGAUUUGAUACAUGUUAAGAAACCUGCAAAAUAUUAACUCAAGAUAACUAUUUUGUUAGUUCUCCAGAGCAAAUGGCUCCUAGAACUCUAUCCGCCUUGCUCUCCAAUUUUCUGAUGAAAAACUCCACUCCGAUAGAGUUCAUGGGUGGAUGAUAUCAAAAAAGAAAUUAACACAAACAAGAGAAAAGAAAAGAAAAGUGUCUCCCAAACUUCGGGAAACGCCCAUUUAGAAGUCAUAUCUAAGGUCGCGGUUGACGAUUCAAACUAAUAGCAAGAAAUGUUUUCCCUUGCCAGGAUUAAUAGGCGUGUUGAUCCGGGUAAAGUGGCACGGUCCUUUUCAGUCCCAAUCUCCAAGCCCUCAGUAUCUCUAGACUGACAGUAACUUUUUCUUACCGACAUCAAAGAUCAUCAUCAUCAUCAUCUUUAUUUUUUUGAGCAGGUUAAGUUUAUGGCAGCAAUUUGCUGAUGUGGACC